This 469-nucleotide long non-coding RNA is filed under the name Salvia miltiorrhiza (redroot sage). RNAcentral's name for it is "long non-coding RNA (SMIL_LNC002034)". Lineage: Eukaryota; Viridiplantae; Streptophyta; Magnoliopsida; Lamiales; Lamiaceae. The record is from RNAcentral.
AAAAUUAAUGAUUGUUGAGUAUCGACCCUCGUCGUCGUUGUUGAAGGCUUCCUUCGACUUUGGGCAGCCACAGCGCAGCUACAAAGCCGCAAAACAGCAGCUGCACAGCGGCGCAGCAACGAGGUAGCAGCAGCCUCGACAACCUGCAAGGAAAAACACACAAAGAGAGGAACAAGGGGCGUCGAUCUUCUCGGCUCAGGUACAGCUCUCUUCCUCUCGAUCACGCACACACUAAGCCACGAAGAAUCACAAAGGGGACGUUGCUCUCGCCGGCACCACAAUCGGCCAACAAGCCUUACACCUUCACCGGUAGCACCUCCACACAAAGGAAGAACACUAAGCAAUUUUCGUCUUCACUACAGCCACAGACCAAGGGCUCUUUAAAUAGCCUACCAUAGAAGGAUCUAGAGAAGGAAGGUGAAGAGGUUCAUGGGGGAGAAGAAGCGCAGGGAUCACAGCCCCAAAAGGG